RNAcentral lists this ribosomal RNA (460 nucleotides) under uncultured bacterium. Its description in RNAcentral is "partial 16S ribosomal RNA". It matches the Rfam family "Bacterial small subunit ribosomal RNA", at positions 338 to 795 of the family's 1533-position model. The record is from RNAcentral.
CCUACGGGGUGCAGCAGUGAGGAAUAUUGGUCAAUGGACGAGAGUCUGAACCAGCCAAGUAGCGUGAAGGAUGACUGCCCUAUGGGUUGUAAACUUCUUUUAUAUGGGAAUAAAACGUUCCACGUGUGGGAUUUUGUAUGUACCAUAUGAAUAAGGAUCGGCUAACUCCGUGCCAGCAGCCGCGGUAAUACGGAGGAUCCGAGCGUUAUCCGGAUUUAUUGGGUUUAAAGGGAGCGUAGGUGGAGUGUUAAGUCAGUUGUGAAAGUUUGCGGCUCAACCGUAAAAUUGCAGUUGAAACUGGCAGUCUUGAGUACAGUAGAGGUGGGCGGAAGUCGUGGUGUAGCGGUGAAAUGCUUAGAUAUCACGAAGAACUCCGAUUGCGAAGGCAGUUCACUGGACUGCAACUGACACUGAGGCUCGAAAGUGUGGGUAUCAAACAGGAUUAGAUACCCGUGUAGUC